Molecule: long non-coding RNA, 9141 nt
Filed under: Solanum tuberosum (potato)
Lineage: Eukaryota; Viridiplantae; Streptophyta; Magnoliopsida; Solanales; Solanaceae
Description: long non-coding RNA (STUB_LNC008828)
Source: RNAcentral
GUUGUUGGAAAAAUUGCAGAAAAUCUGCAAUAUAAUGCAGAUUUUCAGCAACAUUUCCAAAACUUCAAACACUCUUAACUCUCUCAUCUCUCACCGAUUUGGGCGAUUCAAAAGGCAAAGUUGUGAGAUUUUUCGAGGGCAAUGCGUUGGUGAGCUCGGAUAGUGGUUUGGGGUUCCCGUUUGAGGUAAUUUCGCAAUAAACCUGACUGCAGUGCCUUUUUCGAGUCAUUUGUUUUUUGGUAUUUAUUGUUUUGGUCAUAUCUCACUCAUUUUAGCUCGGUUUUGGGUGAUUCGAAGUCCCACAUGUUGAGGAUUGUCAUGACUUCGUUGUAGAGUGUUCAAGGGGUGCUGGGCACCUUUCGAUUCUCGUUUAAUUCUGAGUUUUGACUGCUGCUUUAGUGUUUCUUUUAGUUAUUAAAGUGUGGUUUCUUACUUGUUGAUUUUUGCUAUGUUUUGAGCCUCGGAUUGUGUUCCAUUUUGGAACACAAGUUUGGAGUGCUGUUUGUGGUCACUUGACGGAGUCAAAUUUGGACAGUUCGGUGCGGGUCCCACGAUUCUCGUUUUGACUCCAAAAUUGACCCAUCUCCGUUUGUUGUGAUUUUGGUGUUUAAAUGACAGUAGUAACGUUGUAACUCUAUUUUUGAUAGCGGGGCAACGUUUUGAGACUGUUCGAAAAGGGAAAGCUCCGGUAAAGUGAUUGGAGAGCGCACAGUUGGCCUUAAGGUAGGCUACUACUUCCUUUCUUUUAGAUUGAGCUUAAUUGUGUAAAAACAUGGCGAUUGGAGUAAAUUGGGGGUGGGUACCAGUUUACUACCUUAGUUUGAUUAGAUAACUGAUGUUUGGAUCGAUUGGCCACAUUUCGGGUAUAGUAUUAUGUUAACCGAUUUAGUAGAGUUGCAUACUUAUGUGCUAAAUGCUAUUGUAUGCUUGUAUGUUAUGUAUUUCAUGCCUUGUUCAUCCUUAACCGUAAGCAUAAUUUCCUUAGUCUAGGUUAGGCUAGCAUUGCCUUAGACUUAUGACCCGUGUGGGCUGGAUAGCCUUGACUUGCUGCCGACGUCGUUCGGAUGACUUAGCUCCUUGUAGACUGGAAUAGCAGACUUGAGUCUGAUAGUUUGAGCCUUAGAUUAGGCGUUAUCGCUACUUGCUGCACUUAUGUAUCUUCUCCCUCUUAUUCUGCGGUUUCGACGCAUUCUCGAAGAUUUGGUGCAUCCCUCGAGGCGUGAGAUUGAGAUAGUAUAGGAUUUGAGCCUUUUAUGUGAGAUCUUAGAGUGGACGGCGUUCCACGGUGGUUGUUGUUGGAUUGAAUCCUAUUGGAGAUACCAUCACCCCCGGGGUCGUUCUUUCUAGCCUAGGCUGGGAACGUAUCGUUGGCUGGGUAGACUCGGUGAUAUCGGCGAUCGCCCCCGGGCCUCUCUUUCUAGCUGGGCUGGGAGUGUGCUGCUGGAUGGGUGUCCCCGGGUCGCUCUUUCUAGCUGGGCUGGGAGCAUGACUGCAUGGUAGGACGACUCGCGAUAUCUACCUCACUCACGGGUCCCUCUUUCUAGCUGGGCUGGGAGUGUACUGCUGGCUGGGUGGAGUCUGAUGGAUUAUCUUAGUUACUUUGGGUUGGGAGCCCGGUUUUCUUCUUUCUCAGUAGACUUAGCCUUGCUGUGUACCUGUCGGGCUUAUGGGGGUCCGUUCAGGUUUUAUUUAAACUUGCGCACGAGUGUACCUUCUGGGCUUAUGGGGUCCAGUUAGGUUUAGUUUAGUUGUACUUAGUUUGUUUCUGGUAUGCUCGUGUGCUUUCUUUUCUUAUCCGCUUUGACCUCUCUGUGUCUAGAUUCUAUCCUUUCUUAUUGUUUUUACCCUUUUUGCUCAGUCGGCCUAUGAUGCCUACUGAGUACCUGUUGUGUUGGUACUCAUGCUACGCUCUGCAUCUAUUUCGUGAUGCAGGUCCCAGUACCAGUUACCAGCGGUGAUUAGUUCCAGCCUUCUUUUGCAGUUGUGAUUCGGAGACGAGGGUGAGCACUUAGUGUUUUGGGGUUUGUUCUGUCUCCUUGUUUUGUUUUAGCUAGUCUUGUUGCCUUUGAGACACGCUCUGUUGUGGUCCACUUUUGGGACUUGUACUCUUUAUUAGAUAGCUCUGUACUAGUGACUUCCAGGUUCUGAGAGGGAUUUCUGUAUAUAUUUAUUUUGGGUUGCUUCCGCCUUGUUAUCCUUGUUUAGAUUAUUGUUUUCGCUAGUUUCUGCCCUUUUGCUCAUUGCUUGAUGUUCUUGGUUACGGGUUGGCUUACCUACUGGUAGGGUAUAGUAGGUGCCAUCAUGACUCGAGAAAUCGGGUCGUGACAAGUUGGUAUCAGAGCCCCAGAUUCAUCGGUCUCACUUGUACAGAGCUAACGUCUCAUAGAGUCCUGCGGAUCGGUGCAAAGACGUCCGUCACUUGUCUUCGGGAGGCUACAUGAUGUUUUUAGGAAGAUUUCCUCUUUUGUUUUACUUUCGUGCAGCAUGUGUCUUAUUGGUUCCUUAAUAUUUCACUUGUUUCACUCUUUCGCAGGAUUGCUCGCUCGCGAGGUGGCGCGGCCGAGGGUGAUGCACCCAGGCCUGCAGACAGAGCCCCAGCUUGGGGUAGACGCCGACCCCGAGGUUGAGAGAGGGCCGCAACAUCAGUCCAGUUGAGAGAUGAGGAUCCAGAGCCAGUAGCAGACCCUUCAGCAUUUCGUAUACCAGAUCAGCCAGUGGGGCCGAGGCCAGCCCAGCCGCCACCCGGACUAGUUUUGACUCCAGAUCUCCAGGCAGCUAUUUCUCAGCUCCUAGGUGUGCUUGGGGGGAUGCAGCAGCCACCCGCCCCAGCUACACCAGCACUAGUAUCGCAGGAUCAGCCUGCAGUGAGGGCUCCUUAGGUCCAGGUACCACCUGAGGGAGUACAUCUCUUGGCAGCGGACAGACCUAUGCCGCUUGAGGACCAGAAGAUGCUUGGUGUGUUUCUCAGGUUGACACCAUCGAGGUUUUCUGGGGCUGUGGGUGAGGAUGCCCACGAGUUUCUUACUACUUGCCGUGAGAGGCUUCGCACUUUGGGCUUUGUGGAGUCUAGAGGGGCCGACUUCAUUGCUUACCAGCUAGAUGGGCCAGCCAGGCAGUGGUGGCGCACAUUCAUUCAGAUCAGGCCAGUUGGAUCUCCACCAGUAUCAUGGGAUGAGUUUUCUGAGGCCUUCUUGGCCAAGUUUAAUCCUCGUAGCGUCAGAGACUGCCUUAGGGAUCAGUUCUGCAGGUUGGAGCAUGGCUCCAUGUCGGUGGCGGAGUACGAGACUAGGUUCCAUGAACUCUCCCGUCAUGCCGAGAUGAUAUUACCUACAGAGGAGGAGAGAGUUAGGUGCUUUGUUCGUGGGUUGAGAUGACAGCUUCGGCUUGAGAGCCAGUCCUUAGUUUCUGCCGGUCGAUUUUUUUUGACGUAGUUGACCAUGCUAGUACUAUGGAGCAUCUUCGUCGCGAGGCCCAAGGGGGCAGCGAGAAUAGGGCUAGGCAUGAGGACAGCUACAGUGACGCCCGCCCCAGGUCUAGAGAUUAUCAUGACAGGGCCGGACGACGGUUUCGACAGGGUCAGUCUAGCAGACCUACACAGGCCUCUCUUCAGGCAUCAAAUGGUGGUCGGAGUGAGGCUAGUUCGAGUCAGGGCUGCGAGGUGUUUCAGUCGGGUUUUUCAGGCCAUGGUAGUCGUUCUUCUGGGAGUCGCUCUCGACAGGGUUGCUAUGAGUGUGGUGAGAUGGGUCAUUGGGCCAGGGACUGCCCUCAGCAUAGUCGGAUUGCUCCCGCUCCUCAUGCAGCUCCCCCAGCUUUACCAGCACCUCCAGUUAGAGGCCGUGGUCAGGGUCAGGACCGUAGAGGUGGUCAGCAGGGUAUACGGGGUGGUCCUCGAGGAGGCAGGACAUGUGGUAGGUUUGGUGAGCAGGGCAGAGGCAGAGGCUGAGGCAUCAGACGAUGUGAUCACAGGUACUAUUCUUUUAUGCCAGCAGCCCGCCUUGGCUUUAUUUGAUCCAGGCUCCACUUUUUCGUACGUUUCUGUUUACUAUGCCUCUCGAUUGAGUAUGAUGUCUAAGCCUUUGGUAGUGCCGUUGCGUGUGUCGACCCCCGUGAGUGAGUCUUUAGUAGUGGAUCAGGUAUUUCGAUCUUGCUUAGUUACUAUCCAAGGAUGUGAUAACCGGGCUGACCUUAUAUUGCUUAUUGCUCGUGACUUCUUAGAUGUGUUUCCUACUGACCUACCUGGCCUACCCCCAGAGCGUGAUAUUGAUUUUCCGAUUGAGCUUGAGCCAGGUACUCGGCCUAUUUCUAUUCCGCCAUAUCGGAUGGCUCCUGCAGAGCUCAAGGAGCUCAGUGUUCAGCUUCAGGAUCUCUUGGGUAAAGGAUUCAUUCGGCCUAGUGUAUCGCCUUGGGGUGCCCCAGUCCUCUUCGUGAAGAAGAAGGACGGUACUAUGCGAUUGUGUAUUGACUACAGGCAGCUGAAUAAGGUGACGGUGAAGAACCGUUACCCCAUGCCUCGUAUUGAUGAUUUGUUUGAUCAGCUUCAGGGUGCCGCCGUGUUUUCUAAGAUUGAUUUGAGGUCCGGGUACCAUCAGCUGAGUAUUAGGGCAGCGGACAUCCCUAAGACGGCAUUUAGGACCCAUUAUGGCCAUUAUGAGUUCUUGGUGGUGUCGUUUGGGUUGAGUAAUGCCCCUGCUGCCUUCAUGGACUUGAUGACACGUGUGGUCAGGCCAUACCUUAAUUUAUUUGUCAUUGUCUUCAUUGAUGACAUACGGGUAUACUCGCGGAGCCGGAGUGAGCAUGAGCAGCAUUUGAGGAUAGUGCUCCAGACUUUGAGAGAUCAGCGGCUUUAUGCCUAGUUCUCAAAGUGCGAGUUUUGGCUUGAGUCUGUAGCCUUCUUGGGGCACGUGGUGUCCAAGGAGGGUAUUAGGGUUGAUCUGGCGAAGAUUGAGGCUAUUCGUGAUUGGCACAGGCCCACUUCUGUUACUGAGGUUCGUAGCUUCGUCGGGUUAGCGAGUUACUACAGACGCUUUGUUGAGGGCUUUUCUACUAUUGCAGUCCCGUUGACUCGAUUGACUCGUGUUGAUGUUCCCUUUGUUUGGUCAGAGGAGUGUGAGGCGAGCUUUUUGAGGCUCAAGGAGUUAUUGACCACCGCUCCUAUAUUGACUCUUCCAGUUGAGGGCGAGGGCUUUACAGUUUAUUGUGACGCAUUCGGCGUUGGUUUGGGUUGUGUAUUGAUGCAGCAGGGCCGGGUUAUUGCUUAUGCGUCGAGGCAGCUUAAGAUCCAUGAGCGCAACUACCCCACUCAUGACUUGGAGUUGGCGGCGGUAGUUUUCGCGCUUAAGAUUUGGAGGCACUACUUGUAUGGAGUUCGAUGUGAGAUCUAUACCGAUCACAGGAGUCUUCAGUACAUCAUGAGCCAGAGGGACCUUAAUUCGAGGCAGCGUCGUUGGAUUGAGCUCCUGAAGGACUACGACCUCUCUAUUCUCUAUCAUCCGGGCAAGGCGAAUGUGGUAGCGGACGCCUUGAGACGGAAGGCAGUGAGUAUGGGUAGUCUAGCCUUCUUAUCUGUUGAGGAGCGACCCUUAGCUUUGGACAUUCAGUCCUUAGCUAAUAGCAUGGUUCGGUUGGAUAUCUCAUAUUCUAGACGUGUCUUGGCCCAUAUGGGAGUUCAGUCUUCCUUCCUUGAUAGGAUUCGUGGUUAUCAGUUUGAGGAUGAGGCCUUGGUGGCCCUUAGAGAUCGAGUGUUAGCGGGUGAUGGUGGUCAGGCUACCUUAGAUCCUGAUGGAGUGUUGAGAUUCGCCGGCCGCAUCUGUGUUCUGAGAGUUGGGGAUUUGAUACGGUUGAUACUUUCUGAGGGCCAUGAGUCUAGAUACUCUAUCCAUCCGGGCACAACGAAGAUGUAUCGUGAUUUGAGGCAGCAUUACUGGUGGAGUGGCAUGAGGAGAGAUAUUGCUGACUUUGAUUCCCGUUGCUUGUGCUGCCAGCAGGUAAAGGCCGAGCAUUUGAGGCCUGGUGGUGUGUUUCAGAGAUUACCCAUUCCGGAGUGGAAGUGGGAGCGUAUCACUAUGGACUUCAUUGUGGGGUUGCCUCAGACUCCUAGAGGUGUUGACAGCAUUUGGGUCAUCGUUGAUCGAUUGACCAAGUCAGCACAUUUCCUUCUUGUUCAGUGUUCAUUUAGCGCCGAGAGGUUGGCUCAUAUCUACAUUCGGGAGGUGGUUCGACUUCAUGGGGUGCCAGUUUCUAUUAUAUCAGAUCGCGGUUCUCAGUUCACGUCCAACUUUUGGAGGACCUUUCAGGAUGAGUUGGGCACUGGGGUUGACCUUAGCACAACUUUCCACCCGUAGAUGGAUGACCAGUCGGAGCGUACUAUUCAGGUCCUUGAGGAUAUGUUGCGGGCAUGUGUUAUGGAUUUUGGAGGUCAGUGGGACCAGUUCUUACCUUUGGCGGAGUUUGCGUACAACAACAGCUACCACUCUAGUAUUCAGAUGGCCCCGUUUGAGGCCUUAUAUGGUAGGCGUUGUCGCUCUCCAGUUGGUUGGUUUGAGUCUACAGAGCCUAGGCUACGUGGUACAGAUUUGCUUCAAGAGGCCCUGGAUNNNNNNNNNNNNNNNNNNNNNNNNGGGUCAUCGUGGAUCGAUUGACCAAGUCAGCACACUUCCUUCCUGUUCAUACUACCUUCAGUGCUGAGAGGUUGGCUCGUAUUUAUAUUCGGGAGGUAGUUCGUCUUCAUGGUGUGCCUGUUUCUAUCAUUUCAGAUCGGGGUUCACAGUUCACUUCCAGCUUUUGGAGUGCUUUUCAGGAGGAGUUGGGAACCUGUGUCCACCUUAGCACAGCAUUUCACCCCCAGACGGAUGGUCAGUCAGAGCGUACUAUUCAGGUCGUUGAGGAUAUGUUGCGGGCCUGUGUUAUGGAUUUUGGAGGUCAGUGGGACCAGUUCUUGCCUUUGGCGGAGUUUGCGUACAACAACAGCUACCACUCUAGUAUUCAGAUGGCCCCGUUUGAGGCCUUAUAUGGUAGGCGUUGUUGCUCUCCAGUUGGUUGGUUUGAGUCUACAGAGCCUAGGCCGCGUGGUUCAGAUUUGCUUCAGGAGAUCCUGGAUCAGGUGAGGGUGAUUCAGGAUAGGCUCAGGACGGCUCAGAGUAGGCACCAGAGUUAUGCGGAUCAGAGGCGUCGACCUUUGAGAUUCUCUGUUGGUGACCGGGUAUUCCUCCGUGUGUCGCCCAUGAAGGGCGUGAUGAGGUUUGGGAGGCGGGGCAAGCUUAGCCCCAGGUACAUUGGGCCUUUUGAGAUACUCCGGACAGUUGGGGGGGUUGCUUAUGAGUUGGCCCUACCUCCAGCAUUUUCAGCCAUCCACCCGGUUUUCCAUGUCUCGAUGUUGCUGCGAUAUGUUCCUGAUGAGUCCCAUGUGCUCCAGUAUGAUGCAGUCGAGUUGGAUGAUCGUUUGACAUUUAGAGAGGAGCCAGUUUCCAUUCUAGCCAGUAUUGUGAGGAGAUUGCGCUCGAGAGCCAUUCCUGUUGUUAAGGUCCGUUGGAGGCAUCGUCCAGUCGAGGAGGCUACCUGGGAGACCGAGCAGGAGAUGCGAGAGCAGUUUCCCACCUUGUUUGAGCCUUCAGGUACUUCUUAACCCUUACUUUUGCGGUCGAAAGUAGUGGAUAUUGUAAUGACCCUCUUGGUCAUUUCUGUGUCUUGCCUUCUGUGUGUCGUUUAGAGCGUUCUUGUAGCGACCCCAAGCCAUUUAUGACUAGCUGGGAUUGACGGUUCGGUCACCUGGUCGUUCGUUUGGUCUUGGUGUGAGUUUUUGUGUUUUGGAGCUUAUGAACCUUGAACGAUCAUUUUCGAUCAAAAUUUCAAGAAGAUGACAUCGGAAUCCAAUUCUGACGAUUCCAUCAGCUCCGGAAGGGUCAUUUUAGGCUAGUAGAAUGGUCGACAUGACUCUCGAGAUUUUCAGUUUGAGUCGGUGCAAUUAGGCGUUUUAAUCUUUGAAUUUUGGCUUAAGUUUGACUUUGGUCAACAUUCUGAGUAAACGCGCUCGGAUGAGAAUUCCGUCAGCGUGGUUAGCUCCAAAAUGUCGAGUUUGGUCUACAAUGACCCUUCUUUUGUGUCCCGAGGUUUUCGAUAUCUUUCCGAGCCCUUUUGUGGGUUUUGACUUAAAAUGACUUUUGGAAGUGGGACCCACUUUUUAUCGAAAUGACCUCUGAUGGAAAUUUCGAAUGCGCCGUUGAGUCUGGAAUAUCGAAUUUGGUGUGGUUGCAUGUCUCGUUUGCGUGCACGGGGUUCCGAACGAGAUCGGAACACCCCAUCGGAAUUUUAAGUUUUGGAAAUGUUGCAGAUUUUCUGCAAUAAAUUGCAGAAAACCAGCCACAUUUCCCAAACUUCAAACCCUCAUCUCUCUCUCAUCUCUCAACCGAUUUGGGCGAUUCAAAAGGCAAAGUUGUGAGAUUUUUCGACGACAACGCGUUGGUGAGCUCGGAUAGUGGUUUGGGGUUCCCGUUUGAGGUAAUUUCGCGAAAAACCUGACUGCUGUACCUUUUUCGAGUCCUUGUUUUUGGAAUUUUUGUUUUGGUCAUAUCUCACUCAUUUUGGAUAGUGGUUUGGGGUUCCCAUUUGAGGUAAUUUCACAAUUAAACCUGACUGCAGUGCCUUUUUCGAGCAUUUGUUUUUGGUAUUAUUGUUUUGAUCAUAUCUCACUCAUUUUAGCUCGAUUUUGGGUGAUUCGAAGUCCCACAUGUUGAGGAUUGUCAUGACUUCGUUGUAGAGUGUUCAAGGAGUGCUGGGCACCUUUCGAUUCUCAUUUAUUCUGAGUUUUGACUGCUGCUGUAGGGUUUCUUUUAGUUAUUAAAGUGUGGUUUCUUGCUUGUUGGUUUUUGCUAUGUUUUGAGCCUCGGAUUGUGUUCCAUUUUGGAACACAAGUUUGGAGUGCUAUUUGGGGUCACUUGACGGAGUGAAAUUCGGACAGUUCGGUGUGGGUCCCACGAUUCCCGUUUUGACUCCAAAAUUGACCCAUCUCCGUUUGUUGUGAUUUUGGUGUCUAAAUGACCGUAGUAACGUUGUAAAUCUAUUUUUGAUAGCGGGGCAGCGUUUCGAGACUGUUCGAAAAGGGAAAGCUCCGGUAAAGUGAUUGGAGAGCGCAGAGUUGGCCUUAAG